This 253-nucleotide ribosomal RNA is filed under the name uncultured bacterium. RNAcentral's name for it is "partial 16S ribosomal RNA". It matches the Rfam family "Bacterial small subunit ribosomal RNA", at positions 524 to 776 of the family's 1533-position model. The record is from RNAcentral.
GACGAACCGUGCGAACGUUGUUCGGAAUUACUGGGCUUAAAGGGCGCGUAGGCGGGCUCGCAAGUCAGGGGUGAAAGCCCACGGCUCAACCGUGGAAGUGCCUUUGAUACUGCGGGCCUUGAGGGAGGUAGGGGCGUGCGGAACUUCCGGUGGAGCGGUGAAAUGCGUAGAUAUCGGAAGGAACACCGGUGGCGAAAGCGGCGCGCUGGACCUCUUCUGACGCUGAGGCGCGAAAGCCAGGGGAGCAAACGGG